This 240-nucleotide ribosomal RNA is filed under the name uncultured Bacteroides sp. Its description in RNAcentral is "partial 16S ribosomal RNA". It matches the Rfam family "Bacterial small subunit ribosomal RNA", at positions 99 to 339 of the family's 1533-position model. Lineage: Bacteria; Pseudomonadati; Bacteroidota; Bacteroidia; Bacteroidales; Bacteroidaceae. The record is from RNAcentral.
CGCACGGGUGAGUAACGCGUAUCCAACCUUCCGCUUACUCGGGGAUAGCCUUUCGAAAGAAAGAUUAAUACCCGAUUGUAUCUUAAGUACGCAUGAGAUUAAGAUUAAAGAUUUAUCGGUAAGCGAUGGGGAUGCGUUCCAUUAGGCAGUUGGCGGGGUAACGGCCCACCAAACCUACGAUGGAUAGGGGUUCUGAGAGGAAGGUCCCCCACAUUGGAACUGAGACACGGUCCAAUCUCC